AAAAAGUCGUAACAAGGUCUCCGUAGGUGAACCUGCGGAGGGAUCAUUACACAAUAUGAAAGCGGGCUGGCAUCCUUCGGGGUUACAGCCUUGCUGAAUUAUUCACCCGUGUCUUUUGCGUACUUCUUGUUUCCUUGGUGGGUUCGCCCACCAUAGGACAAACCAUAAACCUUUUGUAAUUGCAAUCAGCGUCAGUAAAAAAAUUAAUAAUUACAACUUUUAACAACGGAUCUCUUGGUUCUGGCAUCGAUGAAGAACGCAGCGAAAUGCGAUAAGUAGUGUGAAUUGCAGAAUUCAGUGAAUCAUCGAAUCUUUGAACGCACAUUGCGCCCUUUGGUAUUCCAAAGGGCAUGCCUGUUCGAGCGUCAUUUGUACCCUCAAGCUUUGCUUGGUGUUGGGCGUCUUGUCUCCAGUUCGCUGGAGACUCGCCUUAAAGUAAUUGGCAGCCGGCCUACUGGUUUCGGAGCGCAGCACAAGUCGCGCUCUCUUCCAGCCAAGGUCAGCAUCCACAAAGCCUUUUUUCAACUUUUGACCUCGGAUCAGGUAGGGAUACCCGCUGAACUUAAGCAUAUC
Molecule: ribosomal RNA, 573 nt
Filed under: Ulocladium sp. MAB-2010a
Lineage: Eukaryota; Fungi; Ascomycota; Dothideomycetes; Pleosporales; Pleosporaceae
Description: eukaryotic LSU rRNA
Rfam family: 5.8S ribosomal RNA (bases 215-368)
Source: RNAcentral